Brachypodium distachyon (stiff brome) is the source of this 136-nucleotide non-coding RNA. The record is from Rfam. NCBI's taxonomy places the organism in Eukaryota, Viridiplantae, Streptophyta, Magnoliopsida, Poales, Poaceae.
ACAGUACUCCUUCCAUCCAACAAAAAAUGUGUCAACUUAGUCCAAAUUAAAAUGUAUUUAUACACUAAGUCAUGUCUAAAUACAUCUAAAUUUUAACAAACUUGAGACAUCUUUUGUUGGACGGAGGGAGCACGUA